This 244-nucleotide ribosomal RNA is filed under the name uncultured bacterium. Its description in RNAcentral is "partial 16S ribosomal RNA". It matches the Rfam family "Bacterial small subunit ribosomal RNA", at positions 528 to 772 of the family's 1533-position model. The record is from RNAcentral.
UAGGGAGCAAGCGUUGUCCGGAAUUACUGGGUGUAAAGGGAGCGUAGGCGGGGAAACAAGUUGAAUGUGAAAUCCAUGGGCUCAACCCAUGGCUGCGUUCAAAACUGUAUCUCUUGAGUGAAGUAGAGGCAGGCGGAAUUCCUAGUGUAGCGGUGAAAUGCGUAGAUAUUAGGAGGAACACCAGUGGCGAAGGCGGCCUGCUGGGCUUUUACUGACGCUGAGGCUCGAAAGCGUGGGUAGCAAA